This 877-nucleotide long non-coding RNA is filed under the name Anser cygnoides (Swan goose). RNAcentral's name for it is "lncRNA (ENSACDG00005014117.1)". The record is from RNAcentral. Lineage: Eukaryota; Metazoa; Chordata; Aves; Anseriformes; Anatidae.
GGAGACUGAUGGCAUUAUCCCUUAAAUGCCUUUCACUGAAAUAGGAUGGCCAGGCUGAUUGGAUUGCGCUCUGUAAUUAAUUAGCUGGGUGCAGUGGGCGGGAGGCAGCUCCGGUGGGAAGAGAGGGGGAAGGUGUCAGGAGAGGGGUCCAGCUCCACGCCACCCCUUCUCACUAACACGGUGCUGUACAAUGUGAGCCACCAGGAGCCGGGUGCCUCUUGUAGCAGCCUGGCCCUUUUCCAGCCCCCUGCACCCAGGAGCCAUGAGCUGCCCCCAGCACCUGCAGAGCCCCUGGAGCAACGCCCUGUGUGCAGCCUCUCGGUGCUGUUAGGCUCCCUGCUGCAGCCUCCUGCAUCCCUUCUGAGUACUGCAGCAUCUCCCUUUUGGACCAUCCUUCUUGUCCCACCUCGGUUCUGGGCAGGCUCCAGCAGCGCAGCACCGUCCUCUCCCUUGAGGCUGAGCCGAAUCCCGUACGAACGUUGAUGUGCGUCAAGGAGGCCACAAGGACGUCUUUUCUGCCCAGACAGCUGGCUUUGUCCCCAGAGGCAGUGUGCGGCGGGUGGUUUCACACCGGGCAAGACCCCACCGUGACCACAGGGCUCUUGCUGGGCCGGGGCAAUACAGAUGCUGCCGGGGCCCCGGGAGCGUAACUCAAAUCGAUAAGAAGCUGUUAAAUUGCACCUGCACCUCGCAAGGAGCAGCGCAGGGAGCGCUGGCUGCGGAGAUGUAUCUGCUGCCACUCGGCGUGCUGAGGCACAUUCAUUAAGUAUCUUUAAGAUGGAUACACCCCCCAGUUCACCUCCUGCGAAAGCCUGCGAAUUUAUUUCCUCCUGAACCGCGCCAUCAAUCACUGCUGACAGCCCCGCCGCGGCGCGGC